UACGUAGGGGGCAAGCGUUGUCCGGAUUUAUUGGGCGUAAAGAGCGUGUAGGCGGCCAAGCAGGUCCGCUGUGAAAACUCGAGGCUCAACCUCGAGACGUCGGUGGAAACCGUUUGGCUAGAGUCCGGAAGAGGAGAGUGGAAUUCCCGGUGUAGCGGUGAAAUGCGCAGAUAUCGGGAAGAACACCCGUGGCGAAGGCGGGCUCUCUGGGACGGUACUGACGCUGAGACGCGAAAGCGUGGGGAGCGAACGAGG
RNAcentral lists this ribosomal RNA (255 nucleotides) under uncultured bacterium. Its description in RNAcentral is "partial 16S ribosomal RNA". It matches the Rfam family "Bacterial small subunit ribosomal RNA", at positions 524 to 777 of the family's 1533-position model. The record is from RNAcentral.